CCCUUAGAUGUUCUGGGCUGCACGCGCGCUACACUGAUGCACUCAACGAGUUUACGACCUUGCCCGAUAGGGUUGGGUAAUCUUUUUAAAAUGCAUCGUGAUGGGGAUAGAUUAUUGCAAUUAUUAAUCUUCAACGAGGAAUGCCUAGUAAGCGCAAGUCAUCAGCUUGCGUUGAUUACGUCCCUGCCCUUUGUACACACCGCCCGUCGCUCCUACCGAUUGAAUGGUCCGGUGAAGCGUUCGGACCGUGGCCUUUGGACGGUUCGCCGUCUGUUGGCUGCGGGAAGUUCGUUAAACCUUAUCAUUUAGAGGAAGGAGAAGUCGUAACA
This 329-nucleotide ribosomal RNA is filed under the name uncultured eukaryote. Its description in RNAcentral is "partial 18S ribosomal RNA". It matches the Rfam family "Eukaryotic small subunit ribosomal RNA", at positions 1470 to 1796 of the family's 1831-position model. The record is from RNAcentral.